Molecule: transfer RNA, 77 nt
Filed under: Microbacterium hominis
Lineage: Bacteria; Bacillati; Actinomycetota; Actinomycetes; Micrococcales; Microbacteriaceae
Description: tRNA-Met
Rfam family: tRNA
About the family: Transfer RNA (tRNA) molecules are approximately 80 nucleotides in length. Their secondary structure includes four short double-helical elements and three loops (D, anti-codon, and T loops). Further hydrogen bonds mediate the characteristic L-shaped molecular structure. tRNAs have two regions of fundamental functional importance: the anti-codon, which is responsible for specific mRNA codon recognition, and the 3' end, to which the tRNAs corresponding amino acid is attached (by aminoacyl-tRNA synthetases). tRNAs cope with the degeneracy of the genetic code in two manners: having more than one tRNA (with a specific anti-codon) for a particular amino acid; and 'wobble' base-pairing, i.e. permitting non-standard base-pairing at the 3rd anti-codon position.
Source: RNAcentral
GGCGGGGUAGCUCAGUUGGUGAGAGCGCACGACUCAUAAUCGUGAGGUCGCGGGUUCAAGCCCCGCUCCCGCUACAA